RNAcentral lists this ribosomal RNA (1316 nucleotides) under uncultured Hymenochaetales. RNAcentral describes it as "eukaryotic LSU rRNA". The stretch from base 644 to 1316 matches the Rfam family "Eukaryotic large subunit ribosomal RNA", at positions 1 to 650 of the family's 3401-position model. The record is from RNAcentral. Lineage: Eukaryota; Fungi; Basidiomycota; Agaricomycetes; Hymenochaetales.
UUACUGAGGUUACCGGGGGCGAGUUUGCGGGAGUUAAGUGCUGGCACUCUCGAGUGCAUGUGCACGGCUCUUUCCUUCUCGUCUUCGUUCCUUCUAUCAACCACUGUGCACUAUAUUAGGAUUAGAGAGAAGCGCGGCAGUCUAAGGAUUAGCCUAGUAGUUGUGGGUCCGCCCCGCGGCGAAAGGUUAAUCUUGACGCGUGGUACCUCGAACUCCUUAAUUAUUACAAACCACUAUUUAUGUCUUGUCAGAAUGUUUAGUCCCUCGUUGGACGCUAAAUGAGAUACAACUUUCAACAACGGAUCUCUUGGCUCUCGCAUCGNWUGAAGARCGCRGCGAAAUGCGAUAAGUAANUGUGAAUUGCAGAAUNCAGUGAAUCAUCGAAUCUUUGAACGCACCUUGCGYCCUUUUUCGGAAGGGCACGCCUGUUUGAGUGUCAUGUWCAUCUCAAUCCAACAGCUUUUGUGGCUGAUUUGGAUUGGAUUUGGGAGUCUGCUGGCCCUUCUCGGGUCGGCUCUCCUUGAAUGCAUGAGUGAGCAUCUGGUUCGCGUUGCUGAUGUGAUAACCUUCAUCAUUGGUAACGCUUGCCUAAUGGGCUUGCUUCCGAACCGUCUUCUCAACGGAGACAAUACAUUGACAAAUUUGACCUCAAAUCAGGUGGGACUACCCGCUGAACUUAAGCAUAUCAAUAAGCGGAGGAAAAGAAACUAACAAGGAUUCCCUUAGUAACUGCGAGUGAACCGGGAAGAGCUCAAAUUUAAAAUCUGGCGGUUCUGCCGUCCGAGUUGUAAUCUGGAGAAGCGUUUUCCGCGUCGGACCGUGUACAAGUCUCUUGGAAUAGAGCGUCAUAGAGGGUGAGAAUCCCGUCCAUGACACGGACUCCCGAUGCUUUGUGAUACGCUCUCAAAGAGUCGAGUUGUUUGGGAAUGCAGCUCAAAAUGGGUGGUAAAUUCCAUCUAAAGCUAAAUAUUGGCGAGAGACCGAUAGCGAACAAGUACCGUGAGGGAAAGAUGAAAAGCACUUUGGAAAGAGAGUUAAACAGUACGUGAAAUUGUUGAAAGGGAAACGCUUGAAGUCAGUCGCGUCGUACGGAGCUCAGCCUUGCUUCUGCUUGGUGUAUUCUCCGUGUCGACGGGUCAACGUCGAUUUUGACCGGUGGAAAAGGGCCUAGGGAACGUAGCGUCGUUUCGGCGACGUGUUAUAGCCUUAGGUCGWAUGCAUCGGCUGGGNAUUGAAGGASYGCAGCACGCCCUUGYGGCCGGGGGUUCGCCCCACGYUCGUGCUUAGGAUGUUGGCAAAAUGGCUUUAAGCGACCC